CACGUAGGGUGCGAGCGUUGUCCGGAAUUAUUGGGCGUAAAGAGCUCGUAGGCGGUGUGUCGCGUCGGCCGUGAAAACCUGCAGCUUAACUGUGGGCUUGCGGGCGAUACGGGCAGGCUAGAGUUCGGUAGGGGAGACUGGAAUUCCUGGUGUAGCGGUGAAAUGCGCAGAUAUCAGGAGGAACACCGGUGGCGAAGGCGGGUCUCUGGGCCGAUACUGACGCUGAGGAGCGAAAGCGUGGGGAGCGAACAGG
This 253-nucleotide ribosomal RNA is filed under the name uncultured bacterium. Its description in RNAcentral is "partial 16S ribosomal RNA". It matches the Rfam family "Bacterial small subunit ribosomal RNA", at positions 524 to 776 of the family's 1533-position model. The record is from RNAcentral.